CCAGCUGCCACGCCUGCCACUUCACUACUGCCAUUACUUCGGUCACACCUCUGACUCGAGGCUUUUGGUGAGCCUUCUGACUCAAAACCUCAGAAAUGCUCGCAGUUUGAAUACCGCACGCUUUUUUCCCCUCUACGACCCCUUCAGCUGAACGUGGCUGUGUGUGCGCGUCCCCUUUAAGAGCGUGCUCCAGCCUCGGAGGGCAGCUAUUCACGAAGCAGGCUAGUAAAUAUAUCGAUAGGCUUAACGGCUGUAAUCGGGCAGCGCUGCUCAAACGCUGCGGCUCUGUAAUGUCUUAUAAGGGGACUGACAGAUAAACUUUAACCUAUCAUUUCAUCGGUUUUGACAGGACUACAACCUGGAAAACUGGUCAUCUCAACCAGAAUGGUGUUGUUUAUCGAUGGCACAUCACAUUUAAUAGACUCGCAUUUUUGACCGUUAGUCAGCAGUAAGUAAACGACGAGGGGCUUUUGCUUUCCAGAGCAGCCGUCGAGCUCACCAGGUGGAUUGUGACUGGUGCCUAAUCUUACCUGCACUGGCUGGAUGCUGACAUGUCCGCAGCAGCUGGCGAGCGACCCGGUGAGGGGGAAUGGCUCGUAAACUGAAGAAAAAGGCCGGUUUAGACUGUGGAGCUCACCCCUGCUCGCCGCUUGCAGUAGCCUGCUGAGCGGAGCGGUCACACGCACAUAUAUACGCCUCGGCGUGGAGGAGAAAGAGGUGGCGUGAUGGAGGAGGAGCUGUUCGGCUCGCGGGUUCUUUGAAAGGGGCUCGUCGCGCUAAUCCAAUUUUCUGACAGACUGCGCCGCUCGCUGACCCGCGAGCAGAGAGCCUGGAGACCUGGAGAGCUGGAGAACCGGAGAACUGUCAGCCGGCCAGCGGCACUGCAGCAACACGGACAUACCAAGUGGGCCCACCAGCCUGCUAUAAUACUCUGUUAUAGCGCCUAUACUCACAGUUACUCCCAGGGGUGCAGUAUUUCCAGAGGUGGCACUUACUCAGUUAGGCCUACGUGUAGCCUGGUCAAGUAAAAGUCUGGUGGAUUUGUACAUUCUUGAAUAUUUUUAAAUGUAUAAUAGUGUAACUUCUACUUGUACAUUUAACUGGUUCAUAUUUUAUUACUACACCACGUUAUGCAAAUUGGACUGAAGUGUCAUAAAUAUCAAUGUGUUUGUUUCUCAAUUAAACUCAUGGAUGGGAUUGUGUCUCAGGGCUCUUUGGAUCACUGAAGUCAAUCUCAGACACCUGUGAUAAUUAGUUUGCCAGGUGAGCCCAAUUAAAGGAAAACUACUUAAGAAGGAUGUUCCACAUUAUUAAGCAGGCCACAGAUUUCAAGCAACAUGGGAAGGAAAAAGGAUCUCUCUGCUGCCGAAAAGCGUCAGAUAGUGCAAUGCCUCGGACGAGGUAUGAAAACAUUAGAUAUUUCACGAAAAGUUAAGCGUGAUCAUCGCACUGUGAAGAGAUUUGUGGCUGAUUCAGAGCCCAGACGGGUUCGUGCAGAUAAAGGCAGAAUGAGGAAGGUUUCUGCCAGGCAAGUCCAUCGGAUUAAGAGAGCAGCUGCUAAAAUGCCAUUACAAACCAGCAAACAGGUAUUUGAAGCUGCUGGUGCCUCUGGAGUCCCGAGAACCUCAAGGUGUAGGAUCCUUCAAAGGCUUGCUGUGGUGCCUAAACCUAUUUGGCCACCCCUGACCAGUGCUCACAAGCAGAACCGGUUGCAGUGGCCCAGACAUACAUGAAGACUAAUUUCCAAACAGUCCUGUUUACUGAUGAGUGUCGUGCAACCCUGGAUGGUCCAGAUGGAUGGAGUAGUGGAUGGCUGGUGGAUGGCCACCAUGUCCCAACAAGGCUGCGACGUCAGCAAGGAGGUGGCGGAGUCAUGUUUUGGGCCGGGAUCAUGGGGAGAGAGCUGGUAGGCCCCUUUAGGGUCCCUGAAGGUGUGAAAAUGACCUCGGCAAAGUAUAUGGAGUUUCUGACUGACCACUUUCUUCCAUGGUACAAAAAGAAGAACCGUGCCUUGCGGAGCAAAAUCAUCUUCAUGCAUGACGAUGCAUCUCAUGCUGCAAGGAAUAACUCUGUGUCAUUGGCUGCUAUGGGCAUAAAAGGAGUGAAACUCAUGGUGUGGCCACCAUCUUCCCCUGACCUCAACCCUAUAGAGAACCUUUGGAGUAUCAUCAAGCAAAAGAUCUAUGAGGGUGGGAGGCCGUUCACAUCAAACCAGCAGCUCUGGGAGGCUGUUCUGACAUCCUGCCAAGAAAUUCAAGCAGAAACUCUCCAAAAACUCACAGGUUCAAUGGAUGCAAGAAUUGUGAAGGUGAUAUCAAAGAAGGGUUCCUAUGUUAACAUGUAACUUGGCCUGUUAGGAUGUUUUUGAUUGAAAUGGCUUUUGAUUUCAGUGAAUGUGACCUCCUAAUGCUGCAAACUCAACAAAUGACCAGUUUCAGUUCUUUACAACCUAUAAAAUGUUUUGAAACUCUGCUGUGCAUAAUAAUUAGUAACAGUGCAUUUAGAGUUUUUUAUUUUUGAAGAAUAUGCUGUCAUCAUUGGGAGGUUUGUUCAAUAAAAUUCAAUUUAUACUCUAA
Long non-coding RNA from Pygocentrus nattereri (red-bellied piranha), 2576 nucleotides. RefSeq lists it as uncharacterized. The record is from RefSeq and is a predicted model, not a curated record. The transcript is spliced from 2 exons. Lineage: Eukaryota; Metazoa; Chordata; Actinopteri; Characiformes; Serrasalmidae.